GGUGGGUAGUUUGACUGGGGCGGUCUCCUCCUAAAGAGUAACGGAGGAGCACGAAGGUUGGCUAAUCCUGGUCGGACAUCAGGAGGUUAGUGCAAUGGCAUAAGCCAGCUUGACUGCGAGCGUGACGGCGCGAGCAGGUGCGAAAGCAGGUCAUAGUGAUCCGGUGGUUCUGAAUGGAAGGGCCAUCGCUCAACGGAUAAAAGGUACUCCGGGGAUAACAGGCUGAUACCGCCCAAGAGUUCAUAUCGACGGCGGUGUUUGGCACCUCGAUGUCGGCUCAUCACAUCCUGGGGCUGAAGUAGGUCCCAAGGGUAUGGCUGUUCGCCAUUUAAAGUGGUACGCGAGCUGGGUUUAGAACGUCGUGAGACAGUUCGGUCCCUAUCUGCCGUGGGCGCUGGAGAACUGAGGGGGGCUGCUCCUAGUACGAGAGGACCGGAGUGGACGCAUCACUGGUGUUCGGGUUGUCAUGCCAAUGGCACUGCCCGGUAGCUAAAUGCGGAAGAGAUAAGUGCUGAAAGCAUCUAAGCACGAAACUUGCCCCGAGAUGAGUUCUCCCUGACUCCUUGAGAGUCCUGAAGGAACGUUGAAGACGACGACGUUGAUAGGCCGGGUGUGUAAGCGCAGCGAUGCGUUGAGCUAACCGGUACUAAUGAACCGUGAGGCUUAACCUUACAACGCCGAAG
Molecule: ribosomal RNA, 683 nt
Filed under: Escherichia coli
Lineage: Bacteria; Pseudomonadati; Pseudomonadota; Gammaproteobacteria; Enterobacterales; Enterobacteriaceae
Description: partial 23S ribosomal RNA
Rfam family: Bacterial large subunit ribosomal RNA
Source: RNAcentral